This 580-nucleotide ribosomal RNA is filed under the name uncultured rumen bacterium. RNAcentral's name for it is "bacterial SSU rRNA". It matches the Rfam family "Bacterial small subunit ribosomal RNA", at positions 213 to 791 of the family's 1533-position model. The record is from RNAcentral.
CGUCGGUCCGGGAUGGGCAUGCGGCGCAUUAGCUUGUUGGCGGGGUAACGGCCCACCAAGGCGACGAUGCGUAGGGGUUCUGAGAGGAAGGUCCCCCACACUGGUACUGAGACACGGACCAGACUCCUACGGGAGGCAGCAGUGAGGAAUAUUGGUCAAUGGACGCGAGUCUGAACCAGCCAAGUCGCGUGCGGGACGAAGGCCCUCCGGGUCGUAAACCGCUUUAGCCGGGGAGUAACGUGCGGGACGCGUCCCGCAGUGAGAGUACCCGGAGAAUAAGCAUCGGCUAACUCCGUGCCAGCAGCCGCGGUAAUACGGAGGAUGCGAGCGUUAUCCGGAUUUAUUGGGUUUAAAGGGUGCGCAGGCGGCGCGUCAAGUCAGCGGUCAAACUGCGGGGCUCAACCCCGUAUCGCCGUUGAAACUGGCGAGCUGGAGUUCGUGCGACGGAGGCGGAAUGCGCGGUGUAGCGGUGAAAUGCAUAGAUAUCGCGCAGAACCCCGAUUGCGAAGGCAGCUUCCGAGCACGCGACUGACGCUCAUGCACGAAAGCGUGGGUAUCGAACAGGAUUAGAUACCCUGGU